CUGAAUGGUAAGGUCUCUCUCUCGACCUUGUACUCGCCUGUGAAGAGUUGUUAUUAAUAACCCCAGUCAGGAUUUUUAUUUCUAAUUUCCUUUGGCUAUAGAAUUUAAAUGCUAAUUUCACUUUAUCUGUGAUAUUGAAUUUGCUAAAAGUCCAGAAAAACAAUUAUACUUUUUCACCUCCUUGGAAACACUAUUGGAACAAAUUCAUAGGACUUGCAAACAUUGAAACACACAAGCAUUUCAAGACCGUGGUAGUCCAACGUGCUACUAACAGAUUUAUGAAAAAAAAUUGAAUGAUAUCUUUACAGCCGCCAAGAAUUUAGCUCAUCCAUUUGAGAUUUUUUAAAAUAUGGUUUCAGUGACAAAGAAAUCUUUGAAACACAAAGUAUACUUUCUAAAUUCACUGCAAGCAUUUGAAAUAAACAAAUGAUUUGGUUUAUUUGAUUUGGCACCAUGAAAAUUACCAUGAAAUGAAUGGUAACUCGAGCUACAAAAGAUUGGGACUGCGUGUUUCAGGAUUUAGAUUUUCAGGAUCAAUGUGACAGUAAAAGUCCCCCAUGGCCCACAUGAGUAGCAACACGGAAGGAAUUUUGCUGUCUCUGAGUAGCAGAUUUUCUGCUCUUCAAAUCUUUGUCUAGUCCUGCCAAACAGCUCUAGGAGGCAUGUUGGGACUUCAUUCUUCAUUACUGUAGUUUU
Molecule: long non-coding RNA, 696 nt
Filed under: Marmota monax (woodchuck)
Lineage: Eukaryota; Metazoa; Chordata; Mammalia; Rodentia; Sciuridae
Source: RNAcentral